CCAUGGCGUACCGAGGUCAGGGCCAGAAAGUGCAUAAGGCAAUGGUGCAGCCCAUCAACCUCAUCUUCAGAUACUUGCAGAAUAGAUCCCGGAUCCAGGACUGGCUGUAUGAGCAACUGAACAUGCGGAUAGAGGGCUGUGUUAUUGGUUUUGAUGAGUACAUGUACCUUGUAUUAGAUGAUGCAGAAGAAAUUCAUUCUAAAACAAAGUCAAGAAAACAACUGGGUCAGAUCAUGCUGAAAGGAGAUAACAUUACUCUGCUACAAAGUGUCUCCAACUAG
Octodon degus (degu) is the source of this 281-nucleotide RNA transcript. It is a transcript of the gene named small nuclear ribonucleoprotein E pseudogene, with no coding region annotated. NCBI's taxonomy places the organism in Eukaryota, Metazoa, Chordata, Mammalia, Rodentia, Octodontidae. The transcript has a single exon. The record is from RefSeq and is a predicted model, not a curated record.